GUAGCCUUCAGCAACCACGGUACCGACACAGACAAGAGCUUUUACUAUGUGAACCCAACAACUGGUGUUGUUGUGUUGCUGAAAGACUUGAGAUCGACUGACCGCACAUCAUUUGAGAUCCCAGUGCAAGUUUCUGACGGCCGUGGAAAAACUGGUGAUGCCAUUGUUAGGAUAACAGUGACAAAGAACAGUGGCCCACCUGUGUUCAGCAAUACACCAUAUGAAACUAGAAUCCCAGUCACACAGCCUGUUGGAACUCGUGUACUCUUGCUCUCCGUCAAUGAUCCUGAUCGCGUGGGAACCAUUGUUUGCCAACUUUAGGGGUACGAACCUGGACAU
RNAcentral lists this long non-coding RNA (339 nucleotides) under Haliotis rubra (blacklip abalone). RNAcentral describes it as "uncharacterized LOC124272931". Lineage: Eukaryota; Metazoa; Mollusca; Gastropoda; Lepetellida; Haliotidae. The record is from RNAcentral.